ACUCCUACGGGAGGCAGCAGUAGGGAAUAUUGGACAAUGGGCGAAAGCCUGAUCCAGCAAUGCCGCGUGAGUGAUGAAGGCCUUAGGGUUGUAAAGCUCUUUUACCAGAGAUGAUAAUGACAGUAUCUGGGGGAAUAAGCCCCGGCUAACUCCGUGCCAGCAGCCGCGGUAAUACGGAGGGGCUAGCGUUGUUCGGAAUUACUGGGCGUAAAGCGCACGUAGGCGGCGAUUUAAGUCAGAGGUGAAAGCCCGGGGCUCAACCCCGGAACUGCCUUUGAGACUGGAUUGCUUGAAUCCGGGAGAGGUGAGUGGAAUUCCGAGUGUAGAGGUGAAAUUCGUAGAUAUUCGGAAGAACACCAGUGGCGAAGGCGGCUCACUGGACCGGCAUUGACGCUGAGGUGCGAAAGCGUGGGAGCAAACAGGAUUAGAUACCCUGGUAGCGACUGA
RNAcentral lists this ribosomal RNA (447 nucleotides) under uncultured bacterium. Its description in RNAcentral is "bacterial SSU rRNA". It matches the Rfam family "Bacterial small subunit ribosomal RNA", at positions 335 to 803 of the family's 1533-position model. The record is from RNAcentral.